RNAcentral lists this long non-coding RNA (1424 nucleotides) under Numida meleagris (helmeted guineafowl). Its description in RNAcentral is "lncRNA (ENSNMEG00000015143.1)". The record is from RNAcentral. Lineage: Eukaryota; Metazoa; Chordata; Aves; Galliformes; Numididae.
UCCUUCUUCCUGUUUCCCAUUACCGACAGGACGUGAAUUUUGAGAUGCUUCUAUUUUUUUUCAUGGAAAAUUCUUCAGCGUGUCUAUUUUUGUCGUGAUUGCCAGUUCAUUGAGACAAAAGGCUUGUAAUGGAGCAGAUGAUAUCUUCUCCCAUCUUGGAGCUUGUCCAGAAGACAAGAGCAAAUUGGCUUGGCUGGCUUGAGAAAUCUGCGAAUCCUCACAUCGCCACGCGAUUCCUCAUUCUUGCCAAGCAGACCACUGACCUCUGAGUUUGGAAAGAAUGCUGAGCUGCAGAGCCCACAACGUUGUAGUAUUGGAUCAUGUCAGGACUUCACGCUCCCUGAGCCCAUCUUUGAGCUACUCAGGAUGUAAAUAGAACAAAUGCUCCACCACUGCAUUCCUGGAAGUCCUGAGGAAGUGAGUCCAGAAACGCACCACUUUCAGGGGAAGAAAUCCUCAUCCGAGGCACCCCAUGCGACAGCCCCGUGGGUGCUUGCCUGGUGCGUGCGGACAGACAGAGCUGCUGGCCUCGGAACAGCUGCGUCCCCGAGUCACUUAUGGAACCAAGCCAAGAGGAAGGCAUGAUGUAAUGUGUGCCGCUAUCACUGGUGGAGCUCAGGUGGACUCCCAGCGUGACGUGCUCUGGCUUGGAUGGAUUUUUCAUCAAAAUGGAAAUAUGCCACCUCCACAUUGGAGAAUGAAGUGUUCGCUAGUAUUAAGUGCACCCCAGGAUCUAAUGCUCCUCUGCCUUGACCAAUUGGCUGUGGGUCAGGGGAUUUCUUCUGCUGUGCUAAUAAAUGCGUCUCUGUUUUGAAAUCAAGCUAGCAAGGAAAAAGAGAAUUUCUCAUUUUAAAUGCUCACUUUAAAAGGUGUCUACCAGAGCAGUUAGUGCCAGAGGGUGGAUACAGAAAUCAGAAGCAAAUGGAGGAGAAUAGGAAGGUGAACAUUUGGGAACAGUGAAGCCAAGAAACAAACAUGAAUGCUUUGGAGGUCAGAUCCAUCCAGGGGUGCCCAGAUAGUCCCUGUAGAGUUCCCAGACUAACAGAGUGCCAUGGGUGCUGGGAGCAACGGGUGCUGUGCGUUAGGGCAGUGGGGUGUCUGCUGCAUGUUUUGCUUGGGGCUCUUAAUGAAAACAUAUUGCUGUAGUCAUCCAGUUACUGCAGGGUGAGCAGACAGAAGGCUAAUAAGGGCAUUAUUGGGAAAAACACAUAUGAGUCAGGAAGACACAUUCUUUUCCCAAUGUAUAGACAUCCCAGAAUGAUGAAGGUGUCUGCCAUUCCCCGAUAACUACAGGCUGUGCAUCAAACACAGUGCCACGGACAGUAAUACCAUUCCCAUGACUAAUGCCACAGGAAUAUCUAAUAGAAUCAGGUCCCCAAAUAUCUCUUUUUUACCUGCAUUUUUUGAGCCUCAUAUUUCUAUUC